This 301-nucleotide ribosomal RNA is filed under the name uncultured bacterium. Its description in RNAcentral is "partial 16S ribosomal RNA". It matches the Rfam family "Bacterial small subunit ribosomal RNA", at positions 509 to 807 of the family's 1533-position model. The record is from RNAcentral.
CAGCCGCCGCGGGAAUACGUAGGGUGCAAGCGUUAAUCGGAAUUACUGGGCGUAAAGCGUGCGCAGGCGGUUAUAUAAGACAGAUGUGAAAUCCCCGGGCUCAACCUGGGAACUGCAUUUGUGACUGUAUAGCUAGAGUACGGCAGAGGGGGAUGGAAUUCCGCGUGUAGCAGUGAAAUGCGUAGAUAUGCGGAGGAACACCGAUGGCGAAGGCAAUCCCCUGGGCCUGUACUGACGCUCAUGCACGAAAGCGUGGGGAGCAAACAGGAUUAGAGACCCCUGUAGUCCCUGUCUCUUAUAC